This 389-nucleotide ribosomal RNA is filed under the name uncultured bacterium. Its description in RNAcentral is "bacterial SSU rRNA". It matches the Rfam family "Bacterial small subunit ribosomal RNA", at positions 30 to 417 of the family's 1533-position model. The record is from RNAcentral.
AUUGAACGCUGGCGGCAUGCCUUACACAUGCAAGUCGAACGGCAGCACGGGAGCAAUCCUGGUGGCGAGUGGCGAACGGGUGAGUAAUAUAUCGGAACGUGCCCAGUCGUGGGGGAUAACGUAGCGAAAGCUACGCUAAUACCGCAUACGAUCUAAGGAUGAAAGCGGGGGAUCGCAAGACCUCGCGCGAUUGGAGCGGCCGAUAUCAGAUUAGCUAGUUGGUGAGGUAAAGGCUCACCAAGGCGACGAUCUGUAGCUGGUCUGAGAGGACGACCAGCCACACUGGGACUGAGACACGGCCCAGACUCCUACGGGAGGCAGCAGUGGGGGAAUUUUUGGACAAUGGGCGCAAGCCUGAUCCAGCAAUGCCGCGUGCAGGAUGAAGGCCU